CCUCCUUCCCCCAAAUCCAAGGAAGGGAAACUCACAGUGAACACCUGGUACUCCUUGGGCAAUUCCCAUGUAUGAUGUCAUGUAACCCCUCCCAGCUGCCCUUCAGCGCAGCGUUCCGCUCCGCCAGGUCCCGGAUCUGCUCCUUCAGCACCUCCACCUCCUCCCGGACCGCAAACAUGAGGCUUCCGGAGCCACUGGAGAGACACAGGGAGACGAGAGCAUUUCAAGGGACCAGGACUCUGGCAAACCAAGCCCUCCCUUUGAGAACCUCCGAGUGAGGGACCGCUGGCACUGUGCUGGAAUUCCUGAACAGGGUCUGGAGUGGGAAGUUUGAAGUUGAUUGGAUGGGCUCAGGCUUCACCACAAGCCCCUAAAGCAACUUUGUGUGAGUCAGAAUAAAAUCUUUCAAGACGCUUAUCGCCAUCUUCUCGAAAACUGUUAUGACUUCAAGCGUGAGUGGCGCCCCCUGGAGUUGUGCAGCACAUAACAGGGGACUCUGGCCCUGCGGGACUCUCAGGUCCUGGGGCAAGGAUAGCGGUAGAGGCUAGUCCUCCUUUUUGAAGGUCAAACAAAACAGCCUCAAAGUGAGGAUCGGAGGAAGAAACUGGACAUCUAGGAGAGUGGUGGUGGGGGGCGGUUUCCGAUGCUGAGGACAAGGGCCAACCCUGCUUCCUCAACAUGUUUUGAGGAGCCCCUAGGGGCUAGGCCAGAGGCCAAUGAAGUGGCAUCCGGCUGCCCUGGCUAUACUCCCUCCCAGAUCUGUGGUGCCUCUGGGGUGGGGCCAGGCCAGGGAGCGGAGGAUGGCUCCUCGCCCGGAUUGGGAGAGCCGUCUCUGCCUCUGUCCUGGAGAGAAAGUGCAUCCCAGAGAUGGCUGUCUCCGCCUCUCCUCUUGGGACACAGGCAUUUCAGUAGGAGAAUGGAGAGAAAAAGGCUUUGGGGGCCGACCCAGGCUCUGACAGCAGGCCUGCCACUUACUAGCGGGGUGACUUUGGACAAGUUUCUAAAACCUUCCUCCUCCAAGUCUCAGUUUUCUUCAUCUAGUAAGAGGGACCAUGGAGUUGCUCUUAGAAUUAUGUGAGAUAAGAAGUAGCAUCUGACCCCAAGGAAGCAGUAGAUAAACAAAUGCACCAUUUCUUUCCUGAGUUCCUAGAAUUUAUUUCUUGUAAUACUCAGAUCCCCCAUGCUGGCCAUCUACCCAACCAUCCACCUAUCCCCUCAUCCAUUUAUUCAAGUACUCUUCAACCUCCAGGCCCUGUUGGAGGCCGGAAGGUUCUUGCAACUCAGGAGCACGUGAACAGUUUGAUUUCAUCAUGCACCCUCUGUUCUCCCAUCCCCAGAUUUCUAGAAUGGUCAGGCACCCCCAACUCCCCACCUGGGAUUCAGGCACUUAAUAUGCCAGCCCACUCUCCCUAAUCAAAAGGGAGGUCCCAUGCCACUCAUAUACCCUGUUCUGCCAGCUCCAGGCACACCAGAGAAAUGAGGUGGGGGCUACACGCCCCAUUCCAGGGGGCCAAGGAGGUAGCCCAACCCAAACCCGCUGGCCCAGCAGGGUGGAGCAGGAGGGGCUGGGCUGGGCCCGAGCCCCAGAGGCUUGGAGCUCAGCAGGGUAAAAUGGAGGCUGGGAGGCAGACCGGUCAGACUCGGUCAGACUGGGGUGUCUGAGGGGGUGGGACAGUGGGAGGAAGGGAGGGAGGAAGCCCAAAAGAAUAGAGCUCAGGAGGCUUCUGGAAGCAGAACUUGCUAAGAGAAAGUAGGAGGCUGGCCUCUGAAAUCAACAGAGGUGGAGGAGGGGAGGGAGCCCUUCAUGCCAGCAAACCUCCCAAGUGGGAGUGGGAGGGGGAGCGGGUAGGAAGCACAGAGAAUAGCAUCCAUGGGGGCAGGUGACUCUCCUGCUGACCUCGAACCUCACUCAUUCCCUAGAGCAGGGAACCCAGAGGCGGCCCGGCCCACCCCUGCUCUGUCCCUCAUUC
This is a non-coding RNA of Odocoileus virginianus texanus, 1970 nucleotides long. The record is from RefSeq and is a predicted model, not a curated record. NCBI's taxonomy places the organism in Eukaryota, Metazoa, Chordata, Mammalia, Artiodactyla, Cervidae.